RNAcentral lists this small RNA (721 nucleotides) under Steinernema borjomiense. Its description in RNAcentral is "sequence contains 18S rRNA gene, ITS1, 5.8S rRNA gene, ITS2, 28S rRNA gene". The stretch from base 268 to 421 matches the Rfam family "5.8S ribosomal RNA". Lineage: Eukaryota; Metazoa; Nematoda; Chromadorea; Rhabditida; Steinernematidae. The record is from RNAcentral.
GUUUCCGUAGGUGAACCUGCGGAAGGAUCAUUAUUGAGCUAAUAACUAUCUCUUGCUGAGUUGAGUAGAAUUCAGUGAACGGCUUUGAGUGGUUUCUAUAGAUGUCUGGAGCAGUUGUAUGAGCGUGGCUGUGGUGAUGGACAUUUGAGUCAUUUUCUUAAUGACUAGGAUUAAAGAGGUAUGCACGACUCGCCAUUCUAAACAAAACUUUCAAUAACAUUUGAAUUUAUUGACUGCACCAGCCGUAGGUGCGAUUGAAUAUUUAUCUAGUCUUAUCGGUGGAUCACUCGGUUCGUAGUUCGAUGAAGAACGGGGCAAAAUCCGUUAUUUGGCGUAAAUUGCAGACGUAUUGAACGCUAAAAUUUUGAACGCAAAUGGCACUAUCAGGUUUAUAUCUGUUAGUAUGUUUGGUUGAGGGUCGAUUAACUCGUUACUUGCAAUGAGCUUUCAUUGUUUAUUCGAUUAGCUACUAUUUUCGCGAAUAGUACCUUUUCGGCAUGAAUUCUUAAUAGGUGAAUUCAUAAAUUCAUUUUAUGAACUAUUCUUAAGAAUUAUGCAAGUGCUUGCUUGACGCGUUUCUUGUCAACUGACUUGUGCGAAUUCGCAUUCGUACGUGUAUCCUAAGGUCAGAGUGAGCAGAAUUGUUUCAAAUUGCAAAAUUCAAAAGUUUUCGAUUUACGACCUCAACUCAGGCAAGAUUACCCGCUGAACUUAAGCAUAU